This 630-nucleotide ribosomal RNA is filed under the name Vibrio cholerae. RNAcentral's name for it is "partial 23S ribosomal RNA". It matches the Rfam family "Bacterial large subunit ribosomal RNA", at positions 2263 to 2887 of the family's 2925-position model. Lineage: Bacteria; Pseudomonadati; Pseudomonadota; Gammaproteobacteria; Vibrionales; Vibrionaceae. The record is from RNAcentral.
GGGUAGUUUGACUGGGGCGGUCUCCUCCCAAAGAGUAACGGAGGAGCACGAAGGUGGGCUAAUCACGGUUGGACAUCGUGAGGUUAGUGCAAUGGCAUAAGCCCGCUUAACUGCGAGAAUGACGGUUCGAGCAGGUGCGAAAGCAGGUCAUAGUGAUCCGGUGGUUCUGUAUGGAAGGGCCAUCGCUCAACGGAUAAAAGGUACUCCGGGGAUAACAGGCUGAUACCGCCCAAGAGUUCAUAUCGACGGCGGUGUUUGGCACCUCGAUGUCGGCUCAUCACAUCCUGGGGCUGAAGUCGGUCCCAAGGGUAUGGCUGUUCGCCAUUUAAAGUGGUACGCGAGCUGGGUUUAGAACGUCGUGAGACAGUUCGGUCCCUAUCUGCCGUGGGCGUUGGAAGAUUGAAGGGGGCUGCUCCUAGUACGAGAGGACCGGAGUGGACGAACCUCUGGUGUUCGGGUUGUGUCGCCAGACGCAUUGCCCGGUAGCUAAGUUCGGAAUUGAUAAGCGCUGAAAGCAUCUAAGCGCGAAGCGAGCCCUGAGAUGAGUCUUCCCUGAUACUUUAAGUAUCCUAAAGGGUUGUUCGAGACUAGAACGUUGAUAGGCAGGGUGUGUAAGCGUUGUGAGGCGUU